Molecule: ribosomal RNA, 620 nt
Filed under: uncultured Planctomycetales bacterium
Lineage: Bacteria; Pseudomonadati; Planctomycetota; Planctomycetia; Planctomycetales
Description: bacterial SSU rRNA
Rfam family: Bacterial small subunit ribosomal RNA
Source: RNAcentral
AGAGUUUGAUCCUGGCUCAGAACGAACGUUAGCGGUGUGGAUUAGGCAUGCAAGUCGUGCGCGAAAGCCUUCGGGCGAGUAAAGCGGCGAAAGGGUGAGUAACACGUAAUCAACCUACCCCCCAGAUCGGAAUAACCACUGGAAACGGUGGGUAAUGCCGAAUGGUCCUCCUGGGUGGCAUCAUCCGGGUGGUAAACGGUGGCUUCGGCUGCUGCUGGAGGAGGGGGUUGCGGCCUAUUAGCUUGUUGGUGGGGUAACGGCCUACCAAGGCGAUGAUGGGUAGCGGGUCUGAGAGGAUGAUCCGUCACACUGGGACUGAGACACUGCCCAGACUCCUACGGGAGGCUGCAGUCGAGAAUCUUCCGCAAUGGGCGAAAGCCUGACGGAGCGACACCGCGUGCAGGAUGAAGGCCUUCGGGUUGUAAACUGCUGUCACGCUAUAGGAAUGCCUUGUCGUUAAUAGCUGCAAGGUUGACCAAAGCGAAAGGAAGCACCGGCUAACUCCGUGCCAGCAGCCGCGGUAAUACGGAGGAUGCGAGCGUUAUCCGGAUUCAUUGGGUUUAAAGGGUGCGUAGGCGGAAGUCUAAGUCAGUGGUGAAAUCCUGCAGCUUAACUGUAGA